GGAACAAUAAUCUUCAUGGAAGAUAACAGGCAUGAAACACAUGAGGAAGGGGGAGAAUGCAUGGCUCUUCUCUGCAUAAAGUAGAGAACAUCUCCAAUAUGCCUGUUCUGCUGGCCCAGAGGAGAAUGCUCAGCACAGAUAUCAAUGUGAUUUACAAAGGAAGAUAGAUAUUAUCCCCAGCUCACAAGGGAGGAAACUGAAGCACAGACAGGUGCUGUACAAACACAUGGAAAAUGACAGCCCCUGUCCCGAAGACCUUACAGUCUGUGCAAAUAGGUAA
Molecule: non-coding RNA, 280 nt
Organism: Caretta caretta (loggerhead turtle)
Lineage: Eukaryota; Metazoa; Chordata; Testudines; Cheloniidae
Source: RefSeq, a predicted model, not a curated record